GACGAACGCUGGCGGCGUGCUUAACACAUGCAAGUCGAACGGAAAGGCCCUGCUUUUGUGGGGUGCUCGAGUGGCGAACGGGUGAGUAACACGUGAGUAUCCUGCCCUUGACUUUGGGAUAACUUCAGGAAACUGGGGCUAAUACCGGCUAGGAGCUCCUGCUGCAUGGUGGGGGUUGGAAAGUUUAGGCGGUUGGGGAUGGACUCGCGGCUUAUGAGCUUGUUGGUGGGGUAGUGGCUUACCAAGGCUUUGACGGGUAGCCGGCCUGAGAGCGUGAACGGCCACAUUGGGACUGAGAGAGGGCCCAGACUCCUACGGGAGGCAGCAGGGGGGAGUAUUGCACAGUGGGCGGAAGUCUGAUGAAGAAACGCCGCGUGCGGGAUGACGGCCUUCGGGUGGUAAACCGCUGUCGCCUGUGACGAAGCGUGAGUGACGGUAAUGGGUAAAGAAGCACCGGCUAACUACGUG
RNAcentral lists this ribosomal RNA (468 nucleotides) under uncultured bacterium. Its description in RNAcentral is "partial 16S ribosomal RNA". It matches the Rfam family "Bacterial small subunit ribosomal RNA", at positions 28 to 507 of the family's 1533-position model. The record is from RNAcentral.